Molecule: transfer RNA, 56 nt
Filed under: Fulicoffula longipila
Lineage: Eukaryota; Metazoa; Arthropoda; Insecta; Psocodea; Philopteridae
Description: tRNA-Gln
Source: RNAcentral
UAUAAGAAAUAUUGGAUUUUGAUUCCAAAAAAGGUAAUUAAUUUUACCUCUUAUAA